This 228-nucleotide ribosomal RNA is filed under the name uncultured bacterium. RNAcentral's name for it is "partial 16S ribosomal RNA". It matches the Rfam family "Bacterial small subunit ribosomal RNA", at positions 104 to 334 of the family's 1533-position model. The record is from RNAcentral.
CGGGGUGAGUAAUGUCUGGGAAACUGCCUGAUGGAGGGGGAUAACACUGGAAACGGUAGCUAAUACCGCAUAACGUCGCAAGACCAAAGAGGGGGACCUUAGGGCCUCUUGCCAUCGGAUGUGCCCAGAUGGGAUUAGCUAGUAGGUGGGGUAAUGGCUCACCUAGGCGACGAUCCCUAGCUGGUCUGAGAGGAUGACCAGCCACACUGGAACUGAGACACGGUCCAG